Molecule: ribosomal RNA, 424 nt
Filed under: uncultured prokaryote
Description: bacterial SSU rRNA
Rfam family: Bacterial small subunit ribosomal RNA
Source: RNAcentral
UGAGGAAUAUUGCGCAAUGGGGGAAACCCUGACGCAGCAACGCCGCGUGGAGGAUGAAGGCUUCGGUUGUAAACUCCUUUUCUGAGGGAAGAGAUAAGGACGGUACCUCAGGAAUAAGUCACGGCUAACUACGUGCCAGCAGCCGCGGUAAUACGUAGGUGGCGAGCGUUAUCCGGAUUCAUUGGGCGUAAAGCGUACGCAGGCGGUUGGUCAAGUCUGACGUGAAAUCUCUCGGCUUAACUGGGAGCGGUCGUUGGAAACUGAUUGACUUGAGGUGGUGAGAGGAGUGCGGAAUUCCGGGUGUAGUGGUGGAAUGCGUAGAUAUCCGGAGGAACACCAGUGGCGAAAGCGGCACUCUGGCAUUUACCUGACGCUCAUGUACGAAAGCGUGGGGAGCGAACGGGAUUAGAUACCCCCGUAGUCC